GAUGAACGCUGGCGGCGUGCCUAAUACAUGCAAGUCGAGCGAACAGACGAGGAGCUUGCUCCUCUGACGUUAGCGGCGGACGGGUGAGUAACACGUGGAUAACCUACCUAUAAGACUGGGAUAACUUCGGGAAACCGGAUCUAAUACCGGAUAAUAUAUUGAACCGCAUUGUUCAAUAGUUAAAGACGGUUUUGCUGUCACUUAUAGAUGGAUCCGCGCCGCAUUAGCUAGUUGGUAAGGUAACGGCUUACCAAGGCGAGGAUGCGAAGCCGACCUGAGAGGGGGGUCCCACACCUGGGAUGUGAGAAAGGUCCCCAACUCUGAGAGGAGGACGCGGCCGGGACUCCUACGCAAGGGAGCAAUGGCGAACGGAGAACAGCGGGCGGAGGGCUGAAGCAUCAAGGCCGGGAAAGUUAUGAAAGUAGGAAAGAAGAAAUGUUUAAGUAACUAGGAAGGUAUUGACGGUACCUAAUCAAAAAGCCCCGGCUAACUCCGUG
This 497-nucleotide ribosomal RNA is filed under the name uncultured bacterium. RNAcentral's name for it is "partial 16S ribosomal RNA". It matches the Rfam family "Bacterial small subunit ribosomal RNA", at positions 28 to 507 of the family's 1533-position model. The record is from RNAcentral.